AUUUCAAAUUCAUUGCAUUUUGAAGUAUGGGUGAAAUGAACUGAAACAUGAGAGUACAUUUUCUUCUGUAGCACUCUGGAAAAUGAGCUGUUGCAGUCGGUCAUUUUCUGGGAGAAAAAAAAAUCUAUUAUGCUGAGUUUCUUAUUUGAUGCCGAGCUUGUCUGCCUGGCAGAGUUAAUCAAACAUUGAUUCUUGGACUAAUUUUCACUUUCCCGUGUGAAUGUGUGAUAGCAGAGAGAAUAGUCUGUACCAAAAAGGUACGCAUCCUGGCUUGCUCUCGCUGUCUUUGCCUUUGCAAAGCUCAGGAAACCUUUGAACUCAAGCCACAAGGGAACCAGAAAGGAAUUAAGAGACAAGUCCUGUGAUCCGAGGCAGCAGAUAGAACUGGUUUGUGCUGUCUAGACAUUUGUCAUAUAAGUCUUUAGUCUGGGAAAAGCCCCUAUGGCUUGUGUUGUUUUCUGAUGUGGAUUGCUCUUGGGGAGCUGUGUGUGGUUAGCAGCCACAGCUUUUCCUCUUGACGAGGAAGGAGGAAAAUUCUUCCUAAGCACCAUGAAUUCUUGAGAGAGUUUUUUUGCAGAGGCACAGUGCUCUGAGGACUGAGCACUGCCUUGAAAAGGUCAGUAUUGCUCCAAGUUAGGUACGCAUGCAGCAACCCAGGCAUCAAGUCGUUGCUCUUGUUUCCUGUGGGAAGCCGACCUGGGAUACUCUACGUCUGCAACUUCAUGGACUCAUGGACCAUGAGGCAUUAGAGGCAGUGCAGCUCAGACACGUCAAGAGGACGAAGAUGGCCAGAUGUUAAAACUGUAUAACAGGAUGGAGCUUCCCAGAAAACUACAGAUCAUUAAACUGAAAAAAGUCACAAGCUUUGUCAUCCUAUCAAAUUGGGUAAGUAGUCCUGGGGAAAAACAAGACUCACUG
This 918-nucleotide long non-coding RNA is filed under the name Anser brachyrhynchus (Pink-footed goose). RNAcentral's name for it is "lncRNA (ENSABRG00000006057.1)". The record is from RNAcentral. Lineage: Eukaryota; Metazoa; Chordata; Aves; Anseriformes; Anatidae.